UACGGAGGGUGCAAGCGUUAUCCGGAUUCACUGGGUUUAAAGGGUGCGUAGGCGGGUUGGUAAGUCAGUGGUGAAAUCUUCAAGCUUAACUUGGAAACUGCCGUUGAUACUAUCAAUCUUGAAUAUUGUGGAGGUAAGCGGAAUAUGUCAUGUAGCGGUGAAAUGCUUAGAUAUGACAUAGAACACCGAUAGCGAAGGCAGCUUGCUACACGAGCAUUGACACUGAGGCACGAAAGCGUGGGGAUCAAACAGG
RNAcentral lists this ribosomal RNA (253 nucleotides) under uncultured bacterium. Its description in RNAcentral is "partial 16S ribosomal RNA". It matches the Rfam family "Bacterial small subunit ribosomal RNA", at positions 524 to 776 of the family's 1533-position model. The record is from RNAcentral.